This 433-nucleotide ribosomal RNA is filed under the name uncultured bacterium. RNAcentral describes it as "partial 16S ribosomal RNA". It matches the Rfam family "Bacterial small subunit ribosomal RNA", at positions 29 to 507 of the family's 1533-position model. The record is from RNAcentral.
AACGAACGCUGGCGGCGUGCCUAACACAUGCAAGUCGAACGAGAUCUUCGGAUCUAGUGGCGCACGGGUGCGUAACGCGUGGGAAUCUGCCCUUGGGUUCGGAAUAACUCAGAGAAAUUUGAGCUAAUACCGGAUGAUGUCGAAAGACCAAAGAUUUAUCGCCCAGGGAUGAGCCCGCGUAGGAUUAGCUAGUUGGUGGGGUAAAGGCCUACCAAGGCGACGAUCCUUAGCUGGUCUGAGAGGAUGAUCAGCCACACUGGGACUGAGACACGGCCCAGACUCCUACGGGAGGCAGCAGUGGGGAAUAUUGGACAAUGGGCGAAAGCCUGAUCCAGCAAUGCCGCGUGAGUGAUGAAGGCCUUAGGGUUGUAAAGCUCUUUUACCCGGGAUGAUAAUGACAGUACCGGGAGAAUAAGCCCCGGCUAACUCCGUG